RNAcentral lists this RNase P RNA (394 nucleotides) under Trichodesmium sp. St18_bin1. RNAcentral describes it as "RNase P RNA component class A". It matches the Rfam family "Bacterial RNase P class A". Rfam says of the family: Ribonuclease P (RNase P) is a ubiquitous endoribonuclease, found in archaea, bacteria and eukarya as well as chloroplasts and mitochondria. Its best characterised activity is the generation of mature 5'-ends of tRNAs by cleaving the 5'-leader elements of precursor-tRNAs. Cellular RNase Ps are ribonucleoproteins. RNAcentral also lists the same sequence under 1 other name. The record is from RNAcentral. Lineage: Bacteria; Bacillati; Cyanobacteriota; Cyanophyceae; Oscillatoriales; Microcoleaceae.
AAAAGUAGAAGAGGUAGUUGCGGACUCCAUAUUUGGGGUCUGAGGAAAGUCCGGGCUCCCUAAAGACCAGGCUUGCUGGAUAACGCCCAGUGCGAGUGAUCGUGAGGAUAGUGCCACAGAAAAAUACCGCCCUGUUGAUCAGGGUAAGGGUGCAAAGGUGCGGUAAGAGCGCACCAGCAGUGUCGUGAGGCACUGGCUCGGUAAACCCCGGCUGGGAGCAAGGUUGGAGGGAUAAUGGUUGGUCUUUUUCCAGUUCCGUUGCGUUCAUAGAUUCAUCUAUGAUGCUAGGCAUACCGCAAGAGGUGUCUGGUAACAGACAUCCCAGAUAGAUAACUGCCCUCUUAGCUGGUUUCAGGUAAGAGAACAGAACCCGGCUUACUCCCUACUUUUUUCU